This 448-nucleotide ribosomal RNA is filed under the name uncultured bacterium. RNAcentral describes it as "bacterial SSU rRNA". It matches the Rfam family "Bacterial small subunit ribosomal RNA", at positions 328 to 792 of the family's 1533-position model. The record is from RNAcentral.
CCACCAGACUCCUACGGGAGGCAGCAGUGGGGGAUAUUGCACAAUGGGGGAAACCCUGAUGCAGCGACGCCGCGUGGGUGAAGAAGUAUUUCGGUAUGUAAAGCCCUAUCAGCAGGGAAGAAAGAAGACGGUACCUGACUAAGAAGCCCCGGCUAACUACGUGCCAGCAGCCGCGGUAAUACGUAGGGGGCGAGCGUUAUCCGGAUUCACUGGGUGUAAAGGGAGCGUAGACGGCCGUGCAAGCCAGGAGUGAAAGCCCGGGGCCCAACCCCGGGACUGCUCUUGGAACUGUGCGGCUGGAGUGCGGGAGGGGCAGGCGGAAUUCCUGGUGUAGCGGUGAAAUGCGUAGAUAUUAGGAGGAACACCAGUGGCGAAGGCGGCCUGCUGGGCUUUUACUGACGCUGAGGCUCGAAAGUGUGGGGAGCAAACAGGAUUAGAUACCCGCGUA